This 85-nucleotide transfer RNA is filed under the name Nitrosococcus oceani. RNAcentral's name for it is "tRNA-Leu". It matches the Rfam family "tRNA". Rfam says of the family: Transfer RNA (tRNA) molecules are approximately 80 nucleotides in length. The record is from RNAcentral. RNAcentral also lists the same sequence under 7 other names. Lineage: Bacteria; Pseudomonadati; Pseudomonadota; Gammaproteobacteria; Chromatiales; Chromatiaceae.
GCCGAUGUGGUGGAAUUGGUAGACACGCUGUCUUGAGGGGGCAGUGGGGAAACCCGUGCCGGUUCGACUCCGGCCAUCGGCACCA